RNAcentral lists this ribosomal RNA (496 nucleotides) under uncultured bacterium. Its description in RNAcentral is "partial 16S ribosomal RNA". It matches the Rfam family "Bacterial small subunit ribosomal RNA", at positions 28 to 506 of the family's 1533-position model. The record is from RNAcentral.
GAUGAACGCUGGCGGCGUGCCUAAUACAUGCAAGUCGAGCGAACAGACGAGGAGCUUGCUCCUCUGACGUUAGCGGCGGACGGGUGAGUAACACGUGGAUAACCUACCUAUAAGACUGGGAUAACUUCGGGAAACCGGAGCUAAUACCGGAUAAUAUAUUGAACCGCAUGGUUCAAUAGUGAAAGACGGUUUUGCUGUCACUUAUAGAUGGAUCCGCGCCGCAUUAGCUAGUUGGUAAGGUAACGGCUUACCAAGGCAACGAUGCGUAGCCGACCUGAGAGAGUGGUAGGCCACAAGGAAACUAAGACACGGUCCAGACUCCAACGGGAGGCAGAGGGGGGGAGUGUUGAGAAAGGGGCGAAGGCCUGACGAAGCAACGCGGCGGGAGUGAGGAAGGGUUUCGGAUCGUAAAACUCUGUUAUUAGGGAAGAACAAAUGUGUAAGUAACAAUGCACGUCUGGACGGUACCUAAGCAGAAGGCCACGGUGAACUACGU